Molecule: long non-coding RNA, 998 nt
Organism: Panicum virgatum (switchgrass)
Lineage: Eukaryota; Viridiplantae; Streptophyta; Magnoliopsida; Poales; Poaceae
Exons: 4
Source: RefSeq, a predicted model, not a curated record
CACACUGCCUGCCCGCCUCGCAGCACCUGCGGCGACCCUCCUCCGCGCGCUCGCUCCGGUCAAUCCCCGCGCCUCCGCUCGGCGUGCCUCCUGCUCCUGGCCACGCUGCGCCACGCCGGUGCUGGUGCGGGCUGCGCCGCCCACGCCACCGGGGCUCGGCGUGCUCCUGCUCCUGGCCACGCUGCGCCACACCGGCGCUGGUGCGGGCUGCGUCGCCCACGCCACCGGGGCUGGCCGCGCCGACCACACGCCAGAUGUGCUGGCCGCGCUACCUGGCGACCCCAGCUAGCGGCCGCCGCCCUCGGCGGCUGCCGACGACUGGCGCUCGCGACUGCCGGGCGCCGGAUGCACAUGCCACCGGAGAGGGGGGGAUCAUCUUGCUGGUGCUCAGUUUUGAAUCUUGGGAUGCACACAAUCUGUUUGACUAAAUGCUUCAGGUUGGAGACGGUCACGGUGGCUCCAGUGCUGGGGAUCGCAAGAGCUCCUUGGCAUUUCGUUAAGAACAUGGGCUGAGAAUGACAAUACAAAGAAAAGGAAUUUUAAAGACUUCGAUGAUAAUCAGCAGGACUCGAAUGGUAGUAGCGAUGAUGACAAUACCCCUUUGAAACAAACUAAAAGAACACGCUCACAAGGGAAGAUCAACCAGUAAGGAUAUAUCAUGCUUCACAAUGUAAAAACUACAUAUCAAGUGGAUUGCUUUUGGAUAGGAGCUAGCACCAGCUAUGUCUACAUAUGAACAAAUAGAAACUAUCUUUUGUUGUAUAUAACGCCUCUGAGAAGAAUGGUUAGAGGAGCUGGAACUAAUAUCAACAAUGUGAAAAAAAGGUGGAUCUUUUGUUAUAAAUACUCCCUAGAGGAUCAGUUUCCACCUCAUCUGUUCUCGCUUUUGGACAGAAACUAUCUUUUGUUGUUUUGUUGUAUAUAACAGCUCUAAGAACAAUAGUCAGAGCAGAAGAUCCUCACCCUUUUCUUAUAAAUAUUACAUAUUGCCAAUCCUA